This 2193-nucleotide ribosomal RNA is filed under the name Acinetobacter baumannii 25691_2. RNAcentral's name for it is "bacterial LSU rRNA". It matches the Rfam family "Bacterial large subunit ribosomal RNA", at positions 14 to 2243 of the family's 2925-position model. The record is from RNAcentral. Lineage: Bacteria; Pseudomonadati; Pseudomonadota; Gammaproteobacteria; Moraxellales; Moraxellaceae.
AGUGCAUGUGGUGGAUGCCUUGGCAGUCAGAGGCGAUGAAAGACGUGAUAGCCUGCGAAAAGCUCCGGGGAGGCGGCAAAUAUCCUUUGAUCCGGAGAUGUCUGAAUGGGGGAACCCACCUACUUUAAGGUAGGUAUUGCAACAUGAAUACAUAGUGUUGCAAGGCGAACGAGGGGAAGUGAAACAUCUCAGUACCCUUAGGAAAAGAAAUCAAUUGAGAUUCCCUCAGUAGCGGCGAGCGAACGGGGAUCAGCCCAUUAAGUUAUGUGUGUUUUAGUGGAACGCUCUGGGAAGUGCGAACGUAGAGGGUGAUAUUCCCGUACACGAAAGGGCACACAUAAUGAUGACGAGUAGGGCGAGGCACGUGAAACCUUGUCUGAAUAUGGGGGGACCAUCCUCCAAGGCUAAAUACUCCUGACUGACCGAUAGUGAACCAGUACCGUGAGGGAAAGGCGAAAAGAACCCCUGUGAGGGGAGUGAAAUAGAUCCUGAAACCGCAUGCAUACAAGCAGUGGGAGCACCUUCGUGGUGUGACUGCGUACCUUUUGUAUAAUGGGUCAGCGACUUAUAUUCAGUAGCGAGGUUAACCGUAUAGGGGAGCCGUAGAGAAAUCGAGUCUUAAUAGGGCGUUUAGUUGCUGGGUAUAGACCCGAAACCAGGCGAUCUAUCCAUGAGCAGGUUGAAGGUUGGGUAACACUAACUGGAGGACCGAACCCACUGUCGUUGAAAAGCCAGGGGAUGACUUGUGGAUAGGGGUGAAAGGCUAAUCAAGCCUGGUGAUAGCUGGUUCUCCCCGAAAGCUAUUUAGGUAGCGCCUCGGACGAAUACCAUAGGGGGUAGAGCACUGUUUCGGCUAGGGGGUCAUCCCGACUUACCAAACCGAUGCAAACUCCGAAUACCUAUGAGUACUAUCCGGGAGACAGACUGCGGGUGCUAACGUCCGUAGUCAAGAGGAAAACAAUCCAGACCGCCAGCUAAGGCCCCAAAAUCAUAGUUAAGUGGGAAACGAUGUGGGAAGGCAUAGACAGCUAGGAGGUUGGCUUAGAAGCAGCCACCCUUUAAAGAAAGCGUAAUAGCUCACUAGUCGAGUCGGCCUGCGCGGAAGAUGUAACGGGGCUAAAACUAUGUGCCGAAGCUGCGGAUGUAUACUUUGUAUACGUGGUAGGGGAGCGUUCUGUAAGCCGAUGAAGGUGUGUUGAGAAGCAUGCUGGAGGUAUCAGAAGUGCGAAUGCUGACGUGAGUAACGACAAAACGGGUGAAAAACCCGUUCGCCGAAAGACCAAGGGUUCCAGUCCAACGUUAAUCGGGGCUGGGUGAGUCGACCCCUAAGGCGAGGCCGAAAGGCGUAGUCGAUGGGAAAAUGGUUAAUAUUCCAUUACUUCUGUGUAAUGCGAUGAGAGGACGGAGAAGGCUAAAUCAGCCUGGCGUUGGUUGUCCAGGUGAAAGGAUGUAGGCAUGUAUCUUAGGCAAAUCCGGGGUACUCUAUGCUGAGAUCUGAUAGCAAGCUGUACUUGUACAGCGAAGUGGUUGAUGCCAUGCUUCCAGGAAAAGUCUCUAAGCUUCAGUUACACAGGAAUCGUACCCGAAACCGACACAGGUGGUCAGGUCGAGUAGACCAAGGCGCUUGAGAGAACUCUGCUGAAGGAACUAGGCAAAAUGGUACCGUAACUUCGGGAGAAGGUACGCUGUUGUUGGUGAUGGAACUCGCUUCCUGAGCUGACGACAGCCGCAGAAACCAGGCCGCUGCAACUGUUUAUUAAAAACAUAGCACUCUGCAAACACGAAAGUGGACGUAUAGGGUGUGAUGCCUGCCCGGUGCUGGAAGGUUAAUUGAUGGGGUUAGCGUAAGCGAAGCUCUUGAUCGAAGCCCCAGUAAACGGCGGCCGUAACUAUAACGGUCCUAAGGUAGCGAAAUUCCUUGUCGGGUAAGUUCCGACCUGCACGAAUGGCAUAAUGAUGGCGGCGCUGUCUCCAGCAGAGGCUCAGUGAAAUCGAAAUCGCUGUGAAGAUGCAGUGUACCCGCGGCUAGACGGAAAGACCCCGUGAACCUUUACUGCAGCUUGACACUGAACUUUGACCUUACUUGUGUAGGAUAGGUGGGAGGCUUUGAAGCUGGAACGCUAGUUCCAGUGGAGCCGUCCUUGAAAUACCACCCUGGUAAUGUUGAGGUUCUAACUCUGUCCCGUGAUCCGG